RNAcentral lists this long non-coding RNA (2006 nucleotides) under Homo sapiens (human). RNAcentral's name for it is "SKOR1 antisense RNA 1 (SKOR1-AS1)". Lineage: Eukaryota; Metazoa; Chordata; Mammalia; Primates; Hominidae. The record is from RNAcentral.
GAAAUGAUCCUUUCCAGGUAACAGCCGAGCAUAGGGGACUGCGGGACAUCUCCGCCUCUUCCUUGGCUCUGGGCCUUCGAUGUAAGGCGUUAGAGGACAAUCUUUGUUGGCUGGAUUUCUGUUCUUCCCCUAGAGAUAUCUGGUUCUUUGGAGGCCACUUGGGCAAUUGGGUUAACAAUCACUUACCUGAUACCUGCUCCCAAAACGAAUCCUAUUGAUGAAGGAUCUUCUUUCUGAGCAGUAAACCUGUGUUUAAUUAACCUUAUGCAAAUGAGCUUAAUUGCUUAUCAGUGGCUGUUGUCCAGAAGCACCUAGGGAUUCCUUCCCUCAGACAUUUUCAGCACCUAGAUGAACCGCAAAGUUGGAAGCCUUUCAUCUACACAUGUGUUGUGUGCCUGUGGAGCCCUGGGCCCUGUGUUGAAGAUUGCAAGGAAAAGCAAGGUGUGACCCCUGCUGUGGACUUACUUUCAGUCUUAGGGCAACAGACACUUACAACCAAGAAUAACAAAGGGAGCCGUCGGAACAUCCUGGGACUCCAAGGCUCCGACCCCCAGCGCAAAGGACUCUAGGGACUGGCUUCCUGGCUGUACCGCGCAGCGGGACUCCUCGUCUGCACAGCUUCGGGGAGGCCCAGAGCACGCCCCUACUAGCCGGCUCCGUCCAAGGCCCACCAAGACAACCCGCCACGAAACUUCCCGGCCCCCUCAGCCCAGGGCUCCCGGUCCCGAGCUGCUGGCCGGUGGCGCGGGGCCUGCCGCCCGCCUUCUACGAGCCGCAUGGACGGAGGCCUGCGUGUUAUUUCAUAGAGGCCGAAACGGAGACCCAGGAAAGAUAAAAGAAGGGCUCAACCCGGGACCCCCACUAGCCAGCCGAGGGCGAGAAAUGAAAGCCAAGGCUGAAUGAUUCCCUGUGCCGUGAGCUCUCUCCCACUCCAUCCACACUCUCCUCCCUGCAAAGAGUGUUCUGCAAUUUGCAGCGUCGUCUGUAGCCCAAGCAGGAGGUGCGCUGUGGAAACUGAGGCCGCUGGGAGGCCUUGCCAACCGUGACCCGGACGUCGGACGCCCCAGCCGAGGCCCGGCGAGUCCUUAGCCCCUCUCGAACUAAAAUGGACCGAACAGAAAAUGCGGACGGGGCUCCCUCCUUUCGGGUAGCGGCGGGGCAGACGGGAGGCCGUCUGUGACCGAGCUCUCCAAGUCCCGCCUUCCUUUCCAAGCCUGCCCGGCGGAGACCACCUUACUCCCUGAGACCUCCGCCCUGCCGCAGCGCUCCCAGGCCAGGCCAGGCCGGCGGUGCCCGCGCCAUCUAAAGGGACAAUUCUGGUUGAACCUGGGAUUCCCGGCAGGGCGCCCUGUCUGUGAGCGCCCCGGAGGUAACUUCCCCGGUGUGGCAGGCGUGGAAAUGGGCAUGGAUGAACCCUCGGCGCCUUCGAGCUCUUGAGGAAAGAGCCCGGGACCGCUGCGCUAAGGACCGUGACGUAAUGCCCCUCCUCCAUUCCGGGCCCAAGGGAGGGUCCUAAACGCGGAGAGGGAGUGCCCUGUGGGGGAAAACUGAGUGUGUCUGGAGGGCACAGUGGAGAGGUUGAGUGCUCGCUGCUGCCCACUUGAGCAGGCCCGAUUCUGACCCUGGGAGCCCCAGAACCCGCGGGGCGGCUCCCACCCCCACCUGUUGCACGGUGUUCCGCCGCCCCGCUCCGCCGGUGCACUCCCACCUCCGUAGCCCCAGAAGUGACAUCUUUUAUUAUUAUUAUUAUUAUUAUUAAAAACGAAAGUCACGGGUACAGGGUGGUCUCCCCAAACAGGCUCCAGGUGGUUGCCAUCUCGUGAGUCAGUUGUCGCCCUUUUAAAGUGCUGUUACAUCAAGAGGUUACAACAAAAAAUAGCCAAAGCAAAAUCCAAAGGGGAAUGCAAAACGGGACUGGAAGUGGGUCCAGGAGAAGGAAGCAAAAAUAACUUACAGCAUAAAUAAAUUAAAGUGAACCUAAUACUGAAAAAAAAAAAAAAAAAAAA